GAUGAACGCUAGCGGCAGGCUUAACACAUGCAAGUCGAGGGGCAACACGGGUAGCAAUACCUGGUGGCGACCGGCGCAAGGGUGCGUAACGCGUGAGCAACAUGCCCUAUACAGGGGGAUAAUCCAGGGAAACUUGGUCUAAUAUCCCAUAGUAUUUAGAGGUGGCAUCACCACUAAAUUAAAGCUUCGGUGGUAUAGGAUUGGCUCGCGUGACAUUAGCUGGAUGGUGGGGUAACGGCUCACCAUGGCGAUGAUGUCUAGGGGUUCUGAGAGGAAGACCCCCCAACUGGGACUGAGACACGGCCCAGACUCCUACGGGAGGCAGCAGUGAGGAAUAUUGGACAAUGGAUGGAAAUCUGAUCCAGCCAUGCCGCGUGCAGGAAGACGGCCCUAUGGGUUGUAAACUGUCUUUUAUAUGGGAGCAAUAAGGUUUACGCGUAGACCGAUGAGAGUACCAUAUGAAUAAGAUCGGCUAACUCCGUG
This 483-nucleotide ribosomal RNA is filed under the name uncultured bacterium. RNAcentral describes it as "bacterial SSU rRNA". It matches the Rfam family "Bacterial small subunit ribosomal RNA", at positions 28 to 507 of the family's 1533-position model. The record is from RNAcentral.